UACGGAGGAUGCGAGCGUUAUCCGGAUUUAUUGGGUUUAAAGGGUGCGUAGGCGGCUUUUUAAGUCAGCGGUGAAAUUUUGCAGCUUAACUGUAACAGUGCCGUUGAUACUGGGGAGCUAGGAUUUGGUUGCUGUGGGUGGAAUGUGUGGUGUAGCGGUGAAAUGCUUAGAUAUUACACAGAACACCAAUUGCGUAGGCAGCUUACUGAGCCGACACUGACGCUGAGGCACGAAAGCGUGGGGAUCAAACAGGAUUAGAUACCCU
RNAcentral lists this ribosomal RNA (265 nucleotides) under uncultured prokaryote. RNAcentral's name for it is "partial 16S ribosomal RNA". It matches the Rfam family "Bacterial small subunit ribosomal RNA", at positions 524 to 788 of the family's 1533-position model. The record is from RNAcentral.